UCGGGUAUGGUGUAGCGGUAACAUCGCUGACUCUCAUCUCUUGAGCUACUCAGCAGCCCGGGGUUCGACUCCCCGUAUCCGAG
Molecule: non-coding RNA, 83 nt
Organism: Podospora conica
Lineage: Eukaryota; Fungi; Ascomycota; Sordariomycetes; Sordariales; Podosporaceae
Source: the annotation of a GenBank genome assembly